UAGCUCAGUUGGUAGAGCAUGGUGCUUGCAAUGCCAGGGUUGUGGGUUUGAUUCCCAU
This 58-nucleotide transfer RNA is filed under the name Salmo salar (Atlantic salmon). It matches the Rfam family "tRNA", at positions 8 to 63 of the family's 71-position model. From Rfam's summary of the family: Transfer RNA (tRNA) molecules are approximately 80 nucleotides in length. Their secondary structure includes four short double-helical elements and three loops (D, anti-codon, and T loops). The record is from Rfam by way of RNAcentral. RNAcentral also lists the same sequence under 2 other names. Lineage: Eukaryota; Metazoa; Chordata; Actinopteri; Salmoniformes; Salmonidae.